RNAcentral lists this ribosomal RNA (468 nucleotides) under uncultured bacterium. Its description in RNAcentral is "partial 16S ribosomal RNA". It matches the Rfam family "Bacterial small subunit ribosomal RNA", at positions 28 to 507 of the family's 1533-position model. The record is from RNAcentral.
GACGAACGCUGGCGGCGUGCUUAACACAUGCAAGUCGAACGGAAAGGCCCUGCUUUUGUGGGGUUCUCGAGUGGCGAACGGGUGAGUGACACGUGAGUAACCUGCCCUUGACUUUGGGAUAACUUCAGGAAACUGGGGCUAAUACCGGAUAGGAUCUCCUGCUGCAUGGUGGGGGUUGGAAAGUUUCGGCGGUUGGGGCUGGACUCGCGGCUUAUCCGCUUGUUGGUGGGGUAGUGGCUUACCAAGGCUUUGACGGGUAGCCGGCCUGAGAGGGUGACCGGCCACAUUGGGACUGAGAUACGGCCCAGACUCCUACGGGAGGCAGCAGUGGGGAAUAUUGCACAAUGGGGGGAAGCCUGAUGCAGCAACGCCGCGUGCGGGAUGACGGCCUUCGGGUUGUAAACCGCUUUCGCCUGUGACGAAGCGUGAGUGACGGUAAUGGGUAAAGAAGCACCGGCUAACUACGUG